AGAGUUUGAUCCUGGCUCAGCGCGAACGUUGGCGGCGCGCCUAACACAUGCAAGUCGUGGGGCAGCAGGCUACUACCUUCGGGUAGUAGUGCUGGCGACCGGCAAACGGGUGAGUAACACGUAGCUUACCUACCCCAGGGUUGGGGAUAACCUCCCGAAAGGGUGGCUAAUACCCAAUAAUGAGGAAACUCCAAAGCCGCAAGGCGCCCUGGGAUGGGGCUGCGUCCCAUCAGGUAGUUGGUGAGGUAACGGCUCACCAAGCCUACGACGGGUAACUGGUCUGAGAGGAUGACCGGUCACAGUGGGACUGAGACACGGCCCGCACCCCUACGGGGGGCAGCAGUGGGGAAUAUUGGGCAAUGGCCGAAAGGCUGACCCAGCGACGCCGCGUGGCGGAUGAAGCCCUUCGGGGUGUAAACGCCUUUUCUUGGGGAAGACAAUGACGGUACCCAAGGAAAAAGGGACGGCUAACUACGUGCCAGCAGCCGCGGUAAUACGUAGGUCCCGAACGCUGCGCGAAAUUACUGGGCGUAAAGGGUCCGUAGGCGGUCUAUCAAGUGGAAGGUGAAAUCCCAUGGCUCAACCAUGGAACUGCCUUCCAAACUGAUAGACUUGAGGGCG
RNAcentral lists this ribosomal RNA (621 nucleotides) under uncultured bacterium. RNAcentral's name for it is "bacterial SSU rRNA". It matches the Rfam family "Bacterial small subunit ribosomal RNA", at positions 8 to 650 of the family's 1533-position model. The record is from RNAcentral.